GACCUAAACACUAUAGUCCAUGUAGCCUACAGGUUUCAGACCUAAAUACUAUAGUCCAUGUAGACUACAGGUUUCAGACCUAAACACUAUAGUCCAUGUAGCCUACAGGUUUCAGACCUAAACACUAUAGUCCAUGUAGCCUACAGGUUUCAGACCUAAAUACUAUAGUCCAUGUAGACUACAGGUUUCAGACCUAAACACUAUAGUCCAUGUAGGCUACAGGUUUCAGACCUAAACACUAUAGUCCAUGUAGCCUACAGGUUUCAGACCUAAACACUAUAGUCCAUGUAGCCUACAGGUUUCAGACCUAAACACUAUAGUCCAUGUAGCCUACAGGUUUCAGACCUAAACACUAUAGUCC
Molecule: non-coding RNA, 361 nt
Organism: Salvelinus sp. IW2-2015
Lineage: Eukaryota; Metazoa; Chordata; Actinopteri; Salmoniformes; Salmonidae
Source: RefSeq, a predicted model, not a curated record